Molecule: non-coding RNA, 48 nt
Organism: Schistosoma haematobium
Lineage: Eukaryota; Metazoa; Platyhelminthes; Trematoda; Strigeidida; Schistosomatidae
Source: Rfam
AUCCAGCUGACGAGUCCCAAAUAGAACGAAACACGCAUCAAGCUAGAU